CCUACGGGAGGCAGCAGUAGGGAAUAUUGCACAAUGGGGGAAACCCUGAUGCAGCGACGCCGCGUGAAGGAAGAAGUAUUUCGGUAUGUAAACUUCUAUCAGCAAGGAAGAAAAUGACGGUACUUGACUAAGAAGCCCCGGCUAAAUACGUGCCAGCAGCCGCGGUAAUACGUAUGGGGCAAGCGUUAUCCGGAUUUACUGGGUGUAAAGGGAGCGUAGGCGGCAUGGCAAGUCAGAAGUGAAAGCCUGGGGCUCAACCCCGGAAUUGCUUUUGAAACUGUCAGGCUAGAGUGUCGGAGGGGUAAGCGGAAUUCCUAGUGUAGCGGUGAAAUGCGUAGAUAUUAGGAGGAACACCGGUGGCGAAGGCGGCUUACUGGACGAUUACUGACGCUGAGGCUCGAAAGCGUGGGGAGCAAACAGGAUUAGAUACCCCAGUAGU
RNAcentral lists this ribosomal RNA (439 nucleotides) under uncultured Eubacterium sp. RNAcentral's name for it is "bacterial SSU rRNA". It matches the Rfam family "Bacterial small subunit ribosomal RNA", at positions 338 to 794 of the family's 1533-position model. The record is from RNAcentral. Lineage: Bacteria; Bacillati; Bacillota; Clostridia; Eubacteriales; Eubacteriaceae.